This 473-nucleotide ribosomal RNA is filed under the name uncultured bacterium. RNAcentral describes it as "SSU rRNA". It matches the Rfam family "Bacterial small subunit ribosomal RNA", at positions 26 to 518 of the family's 1533-position model. The record is from RNAcentral.
AGGAUCAACGCUGGCGGCGUGCAUGAGACAUGCAAGUCGAACGGACACUCAGGGCUUGCUCUGAGUGUUAGUGGCGGACGGCUGAGUAACGCGUAGGUGACCUGCCCCGAAGUGGGGAAUAACUGCCCGAAAGGGUGGCUAAUACCGCAUGUGGUGAUGCGUUCAUUCGCAUCAGUAAAGCCGCAAGGCGCUUCGGGAGGGGCCUGCGUCCGAUUAGCUCGUUGGCGAGGUAACGGCUCACCAAGGCGACGAUCGGUAGGUGGUCUGAGAGGACGAUCACCCAGACUGGGACUGAGACACGGCCCAGACUCCUACGGGAGGCAGCAGUCGGGAAUUUUGCGCAAUGGACGAAAGUCUGACGCAGCAACGCCGCGUGAGGGAUGGAAGGCCUUCGGGUUGUAAACCUCUUUCUCAGGGAAGAUAAUGACGGUACCUGAGGAAUAAGCCACGGCUAACUACGUGCCAGCAGCCGC